RNAcentral lists this ribosomal RNA (403 nucleotides) under uncultured bacterium. RNAcentral's name for it is "partial 16S ribosomal RNA". It matches the Rfam family "Bacterial small subunit ribosomal RNA", at positions 29 to 526 of the family's 1533-position model. The record is from RNAcentral.
AUUGAACGCUGGCGGCAGGCCUAACACAUGCAAGUCGAGCGAGCGGCGGACGGGUGAGUAAUGUAUGGGGACUGCCCGAUAGAGGGGGAUAACUACUGGAAACGGUAGCUAAUACCGCAUACUAUCGGAUAACCCAUAUGGGAUUAGCUAGUAGGUGAGGUAAUGGCUCACCUAGGCGACGAUCCCUAGCUGGUCUGAGAGGAUGAUCAGGCAAACUGGGAACGGGAAACGGGCCAGAUCCCUAGGGAGGGAGGCGGGGGGAAUAUUGCCAAAGGGGCGCAAGCCUGAUGCAGCCAUGCCGCGUGUAUGAAGAAGGCCCUAGGGUUGUAAAGUACUUUCAGUCGGGAGGCGUUACCGACAGAAGAAGCACCGACUAACUCCGUGCCAGCAGCCGCGGUAAUAC